Long non-coding RNA from Oenanthe melanoleuca, 464 nucleotides. RefSeq lists it as uncharacterized. Lineage: Eukaryota; Metazoa; Chordata; Aves; Passeriformes; Muscicapidae. The record is from RefSeq and is a predicted model, not a curated record. The transcript is spliced from 3 exons.
UCAGAUCCCAGCAAGAGGAGAGAGGCAUUUCUGGGUUUAACCUCAGCUCUGACAUCGGCUGUUUCACGGGUUUGGAGAAACCAGAGAACUUCAGCACGGGUGCUUGCAGUGGCCUAAAUUGUGCACAGGUACAGACCUGCCUGGGACCAUGCCUGGAGUCCUUCUGACCAAGAGCUGUGCUGGGUCCCUGCAGCAGAGAGCAGGGACUGCAGGCUCUGCCCCUCUCCCAGAAAAAUGAGACAUCUGCUGAUGAUUUACAACCAGGAAGACUUCCCAAGGAGCCGUGCAACAACAGUUUAUAGAAGUAUCCAGAGACCAUCAUGUGAGAAACAUUAAUGAGCUCCACAAAGGAGGCUUUGGGCAACGUGGUUCCAGAUACAAAUUUAAAUUUUUAAAGUCAAUAAAUGUCAGCUAUUGGUUGAGCAAGGCCCAGGCAACUCUCAGCUUGGUAGCAUGUCUGGUCU